Molecule: long non-coding RNA, 424 nt
Filed under: Crocodylus porosus (Australian saltwater crocodile)
Lineage: Eukaryota; Metazoa; Chordata; Crocodylia; Crocodylidae
Description: lncRNA (ENSCPRG00005010372.1)
Source: RNAcentral
UAAAACUUGAGCCAGAACCUUGCCUUUGAUUUUCUAGAUGAGUGAGAUCAAAGUUACUUCAGUCGUUCAUAAAAUGAGACAUCAUUACUCAGAGUUCUCUUUCCUAGGAAAAUAAGUAUAGGAAAGACAAGCAUUAGAGAUGAAGUCCCAGUAACAUGAUCACUAUAGCUGUUACACAAAAAUUUUGCUGGGACAUUGGCAGCAUUCAGGUAGUAAUACAAAUAUGUAUAUAAUGUGACUGCUGGAAGCCUAGCCCAGUCCCUUGACAAGAUGUUUCUUGGAAGGAGGAAGACACAAAAUUCAACACUGGUGGAAGUUGUGGACAUUGCUAAAGGAGAAAGGUCCCAAUCCUAGAACAACUGUAGCACAUAUAGACUCCUGCAUGCCUUUGAGUUCAGUGGAUCUCUUCAAAGGCCUGCAGUCU